This 423-nucleotide ribosomal RNA is filed under the name uncultured Alphaproteobacteria bacterium. RNAcentral describes it as "bacterial SSU rRNA". It matches the Rfam family "Bacterial small subunit ribosomal RNA", at positions 54 to 524 of the family's 1533-position model. The record is from RNAcentral. Lineage: Bacteria; Pseudomonadati; Pseudomonadota; Alphaproteobacteria.
CAUGCAGUCGAGCGAGGUACUUGUACCUAGCGGCAGACGGGUGCGUAACAUGUGGGAAUCUGCCUUUUGGUUCGGAACAACAUGGGGAAACCUGUGCUAAUACCGGAUAAGUCCUUACGGAGAAAGAUUUAUCGCCGAAAGAUGAGCCCGCACUAGAUUAGCUUGUUGGUAAGGUAAAAGCUUACCAAGGCUACGAUCUAUAGCUGAUUUGAGAGGAUGAUCAGCCACACUGGGACUGAGACACGGCCCAGACUCCUACGGGAGGCAGCAGUGGGGAAUCUUGCACAAUGGAGGAAACUCUGAUGCAGCGAUGCCGCGUGAGUGAAGAAGGCCCUUGGGUUGUAAAGCUCUUUUGUCGGGAAAGAUAAUGACUGUACCCGAAGAAUAAGGUCCGGCUAACUUCGUGCCAGCAGCCGCGGUAAU